Molecule: ribosomal RNA, 253 nt
Filed under: uncultured bacterium
Lineage: Bacteria
Also listed under: 1 other name
Description: partial 16S ribosomal RNA
Rfam family: Bacterial small subunit ribosomal RNA
Source: RNAcentral
UACAGAGGUCUCAAGCGUUGUUCGGAUUCAUUGGGCGUAAAGGGUGCGUAGGUGGCAUGGUAAGUCGGAUGUGAAAUCCCGGGGCUCAACCCCGGAACUGCAUUCGAUACUGCUGAGCUAGAGUACUGGAGAGGAGAUUGGAAUUUACGGUGUAGCAGUGAAAUGCGUAGAUAUCGUAAGGAAGACCAGUGGCGAAGGCGGAUCUCUGGACAGUUACUGACACUGAGGCACGAAGGCCAGGGGAGCAAACGGG